Talpa occidentalis (Iberian mole) is the source of this 1335-nucleotide long non-coding RNA. RefSeq lists it as uncharacterized. The transcript is spliced from 3 exons. NCBI's taxonomy places the organism in Eukaryota, Metazoa, Chordata, Mammalia, Eulipotyphla, Talpidae. The record is from RefSeq and is a predicted model, not a curated record.
GGAAUAAAAAUAGAUUCAGAUUUGAACAGAGGAAAGAUUCAUUUGUAAUGCUGAUGCCGAAGGCCACGGCCUGGAUACAAAGAGAUGGAGGUCCCAGGCCAAGUUAGGAUGAACCAGUGAAAUGGACUAAGAUCCAUAUUUAGUUUUUCUGGGGUUCUGGACCACGUUACCAAGGAGAGUUAAAGAAAGCUGUUUUAUGGGAGAUUUAAAAAUCAAAAUAAGCAUCUGUUGCUUACUUCCGUUGUGGAAAGAUUUUGAUGAAGGAUUCGCUACAAUCUAGGACGAGCUCUGAAGGAGUCCAGAUGGUCGGCCAGUGGCCAUCUGCGUGGCCGAGACGGCAGCAGCCUUCUCUUACCAGGACAGGGGCCAACUGCUAAGCUGUUAGGCACAAGCAUGGAAAUUACAAAAAUAUUCAAAUAUCCAUUAUCUGGGACUCUGUUUGCCAAGCAUCCUAUCUAAUCAGGGGAAGCCUGCUGGAACAGAUGGGCGCUACUCUGUGCCCUAUAAGCUGGGAAACUUGGACAUGUUAGGACGGUGUGAAUCAAAGCGCCAAAUGUUGCCGCCACUACAAAGAACUCAUUUUCUACUCGCAAAAGACUGACCGUGCUUGUUCUGUUCAAAGAUUGCACCUUUGGCACCUGCAGCAAGUCCUCUAACCACUCCUACACUUUACCAGGAAGGAGAACAUUGACAUUCCUGAGAGACAAAGACCCAGGGUCAGAUUGCAUGUAGCAGGGAAUCUUGCCCAGCUAUUUCGAGGUGACUGGAACCAUCAGCUUAAGGGGCACAGUGAAGACAGCACAGGCUUUAAGGAGAGGGCUGUUUGAAGCUGCUAAUGCAGGUGCUUAAACACAGAAAAAGUGCCUUCAUUUCAACUUUAUAUUUAUGAGUAGUUUACAGAAAGCUUUCCAGCCAAAGGAAACAAAAUUGGUAAACACAGUAAGUAAUAGAUUCAACAAAUAGCGCUAAAGAUAAAGAACUAAUUUACAUUUAAUGAGACAGCGAUUGUUUAUUAAAUAAGAAAUGGUUGUGUUUAUGAAGAUGGCCUUAAAGGUUUUUCAGGAAGAAUACAUUAAGCCUUGAACAUAGCUUUUCAUAUUCAAAAGAUGUGAUUUGAAGAAAGGGGGAAGGGAAGAGGCAGCAGAAUGAAUGAAGACUGUAGAAAGCUGAUAACUUCUGGAAUAUAGGGCACCAGACACAAAUUUAAUGGAAAAUAAAUUCCACAAAAGUUUCUCUUCCUUGGACGUUAUACCACAGGCUGACUCCACAGUACUGAUUUAAAAAAAUAAAAUAGUAUAUUAUUACCAGAGAAUUUAUGGCAUGUUGGAACAUAUA